AUGAAGAGGUCAGAUUAUCGUCAGACCAUAGACAUUACAUGCAAGGACACUGAACAUUUGGCGAACAAAUGCGGCAAACAAAGGUUUGAAUAUCCUCCAAAGCACUUCAAGCCCUCAAAGAAUGAAACUCAAAACGCAGAUGAGGUAAAAGAAGAAACUUCUAAAUUAAAGUGGAGCGACCCAGGGACAAGUCUGGUUUGGGUUAAAGAUUAUGGAUGGUUAACUUUGUGUAACGUGUUUGGACAAGCAAGUUUAGGUUUUAGGCAAGUGAGUUUAGGCAAGCGACUUCAGGUAUUAGGCAAGCGACUUCAGGUAUUAGGCAAGCGACUUCAGGUAUUAGGCAAGCGAGUUUAGCCAAGCGAGUACAGGCAACGAGUCAAGCUAAGCAAGUUAGGUUUUAUGCAAGCGAGUUCAGGUAUUAGGCAAGCGAGUUUAGGCGAGCAAGUUCAGGUAUUAGGCAAGCGACGCGAGUUUAGCCAAGGAAGUUCAGGUUUUAUGCAAGCGAGUUUAGGUUUUAUGCAAGCGAGUUUAGGUUUUAUGCAAGCGAGUUUAGACAAGCGAGUUUAGGCAAGCAAGUUUAGGCAAGAGAGUCAAGUUACUUUAGGCCUCACUUUAUUUGCAGUUAAAUUGCGGCAUUAGGUUUAGAAAGAAGGUUAAGAUCAAGGCUCAGGUUUGCUCCCAGCCUUGUCCCUCUAGUCGCUCCCUAUAAAGAGGGUUCCAGCUACCGUGUUAAAAUACAACAGCUGGGAUUACAGACGUGGAGUACAGAAAUAAAUGACAAAGAUUGAUUCAAACAUUCUUCCCCCAAAAUGUGGUGCAACAUAAGAGAAAAUUAUGACUUUCUCUCCAUUGAAACCUAGUCAUAUCUUACAAGCUCUAUAGAGUGUGCACUGUGUUGAUGUUGGGUGUGGAUUAAAGUGCUGGUGUAGCCAGGGAUCCUCAGGGUUUAUGGGAGUAGGACACGCUGGUGUAGUUCAGUACUGUGAAGUAAAUUGAUGCAAAAAGUAGAAUCAGUGUCAAGGGCAAUCAAAUGUCUAUAAAUGCAGGAGCAGCCCCAUCUGGUCUCAAUCAGCAUUUGAUUUCAGACUUAAAUUAGCUAAAAAACAAGCAUUUAUUUACCGCAACAGUCCUAGUGCUGGAGAACCAGCUUUCAAAAAAUGUCAAUACGAGCCUCCAGGUGCAUUGGAGUUACUGCAUUUAAUUAACUUUAAUUUAAUUAAGAGCACACUAGUCAGUGGAGAUGUUCACAGAAAAGACUUGUCUUCAGACCUUUAUAAAGAUCAGGAGGGAUUAUAUAAUUGCCGUUUGACGCGUUAGGUCUGUUCAAGGAGGAAGUAAAUAUUUACCAGCGUUGGGUCUCUGCACCAUGACACCCAGCUGCCGCACAUAUGGUCUCCUUUAAGUCGCCUGAAGGAGAGGUCAACUUAAUUGAACCUAAGGGGAAUGGGUCACAUGAAAAGGUAAGGAUAAAUCAAAGCUAAACAUAGAAAGGAUGAAAACAAGCAUUGUCCAACAUGGGGUUCAGCGAUUUUUUGAUUUAAAAACAUUUAGGUGUACGAUCCAACCAUCAAAAACUCUUCUCAUCAUGUUUCCAAUGUGCCCCGAGUUGCUACGCCCUCAUUGGCCACCAGGUGGCAGACUUUAUUUUGUCAGUAGAAGGAGCAAAAUAGCCAUCCAGCUUGAGUACAGCAAUAGUAGAGGAGCGAGUCAAAAGAAUGCGUUUGAGCACCUUCAGCCAUUGGCUCUUGUUCAAGGACAUCCCACUGAUUGGCUGAAGUCAGAGCUUAUUCUCUAGAAAGUUUGUUACAGAAGAAGCCCCUAUCAUAGCAACAUACCCGCCAAACAAAACUAACCGUGUUGAAUAAAUGAAAAUGACUUCAAGAUGGUGAAUCCAGUAUCUUACCGGUUCCACAGAGUCUCUAGUCUGCUGCGCUGUAGGCCUUCGGUCCGUCCUCUGCUCCGGGACAUAAAGAACCAGUCAGUCAUCCAGCUGCUUGACCGCCUGCACCAUGAGGACGCUGUGGAUAUGGUAUGGGACCCUUUAUCAGCGGA
This is a long non-coding RNA of Gadus morhua (Atlantic cod), 2052 nucleotides long. The record is from Ensembl. Lineage: Eukaryota; Metazoa; Chordata; Actinopteri; Gadiformes; Gadidae.